RNAcentral lists this ribosomal RNA (492 nucleotides) under uncultured bacterium. RNAcentral's name for it is "partial 16S ribosomal RNA". It matches the Rfam family "Bacterial small subunit ribosomal RNA", at positions 29 to 507 of the family's 1533-position model. The record is from RNAcentral.
AGUGAACGCUGGCGGUAGGCCUAACACAUGCAAGUCGAACGGCAGCACAGUAAGAGCUUGCUCUUACGGGUGGCGAGUGGCGGACGGGUGAGGAAUACAUCGGAAUCUACUUUUUCGUGGGGGAUAACGUAGGGAAACUUACGCUAAUACCGCAUACGACCUACGGGUGAAAGCAGGGGAUCUUCGUACCUUGCGCGAUUGAAUGAGCCGAUGUCGGAUUAGCUAGUUGGCUGGGUAAAGGCCCACCAAGGCGACGAUCCGUAGCUGGUCUGAGAGGAUGAUCAGCCACACUGGAACUGAGACACGGUCCAGACUCCUACGGGAGGAAGCAGUGGGGAAUAUUGGACAAUGGGCGCGAGCCUGAUCCAGCCAUACCGCGUGGGUGAAGAAGGACUUCGGGUUGUAAAGCCAUUUUGUUGGGAAAGAAAAGCAGCAGGUUAAUCCCCCGCUGUUCUGACGGUACCCAAAGAAUAAGCACCGGCUAACUUCGUG